UUGAAUAUUUUAAACCGGCACUGAUGUUGGGAUUAUCAGUGCCGGGUAAAUAUUUUUAAUUGGCACUGAUAUAUCAGUGCCGGUUCAAUUUUUUUAUCCGGCACUGAUGUUAUGAUACUGCGCGGGAAAA
RNAcentral lists this small nucleolar RNA (130 nucleotides) under Dichanthelium oligosanthes. RNAcentral describes it as "Small nucleolar RNA SNORA72". It matches the Rfam family "Small nucleolar RNA SNORA72". Rfam says of the family: U72 is a member of the H/ACA class of snoRNAs. The snoRNA gene is located in intron 4 of the ribosomal L30 protein gene in human, mouse and chicken. Lineage: Eukaryota; Viridiplantae; Streptophyta; Magnoliopsida; Poales; Poaceae. The record is from Rfam by way of RNAcentral.